AUGCAAAAGCUUGGCUUUAGAAAUUUCCUCACAAUACUUUUCGUUGAGCGCAAUACCUGUUGCAAAAUGCAUCAGGCUAUGCGCCUUCCACAGUUUAUGGUAUUCUUGUUUGUUUGGUCAUCCCAAGUCGGUGCAAUAUCGUCGUCGCAUGGCGCAUAUGAUGAGAAUACGAAUCAAAUGAGGCAACAAUCACCCUGGAAUAGUAGCUGGCUACCCAGAAAAGCUACAACUAACAGUGGCGUCAACCAUUAUGCUCUAAUUGAGUACUACACAGAUUCUGUACUCUUCGGUGGCAUGUCAACGUUCGAUGUUUAUGGUAUGAAAAAUGUCAAUCACCAAAUAAGCUCAUCACACAUGUGUGUGAUUAAUCAAGGGAAGGACUUCAGUAGUCAUAAUGCUGCAAUAGCUGGAUGGACGGUUAGCCCAUCCGAAUAUGGUGAUAGCAAAACACACUUCUUUACACGAUGGACGGUUGAUGGGUGUAAGUCAACUGGAUGCUAUGACUUGAAAUGCGAUGGUUUUGUGCCAGUACAAAAUGCGCCUAUCACUCCAGGAGUCACGCUAGACCACAAAAACGGAAAACUUAAGAUCACAAUCAAGAUAUUCAAGAAGAAAGAUGAUGGUGACUGGUGGUUGUACUUUGGUUAUGAUAAUCAAAGCCUUAGAGCUGUUGGAUUCUGGCCCAAAAGUAUCUUUAAUAAUAUGGCAGACCAUGCAAAUAUUGUAGAGUGGGGUGGUUACACAUUCUCUAAUUCCGGGAGUGCUAGUCCUGCAAUGGGCAGCGGCCACUGGCCUGGGAUACAUUCUGCAACUGUUCAAGAUGUUAGAUUUGUUGAUGACACUGGUAGAGGCUACAAAAUUGAUCCAUGGCCCGGGGGCCUUGUUGCUUCUAUCUCCCACAAAAAAUGCUAUGGAGCCGUUCUAUCUGUAGACGAAAUGUUUUACUAUGGCGGACCUGGUGGUUGUACUAUGUAG
RNAcentral lists this ribosomal RNA (975 nucleotides) under Triticum aestivum (bread wheat). RNAcentral's name for it is "partial small subunit ribosomal RNA". Lineage: Eukaryota; Viridiplantae; Streptophyta; Magnoliopsida; Poales; Poaceae. The record is from RNAcentral.